This 117-nucleotide small nuclear RNA is filed under the name Moschus moschiferus (Siberian musk deer). RNAcentral describes it as "U5 spliceosomal RNA (ENSMMSG00000013620.1)". It matches the Rfam family "U5 spliceosomal RNA". From Rfam's summary of the family: U5 RNA is a component of both types of known spliceosome. The precise function of this molecule is unknown, though it is known that the 5' loop is required for splice site selection and p220 binding, and that both the 3' stem-loop and the Sm site are important for Sm protein binding and cap methylation. Lineage: Eukaryota; Metazoa; Chordata; Mammalia; Artiodactyla; Moschidae. The record is from Rfam by way of RNAcentral.
AUACUCUGGUUUCUCUUCAGAUCGUAUACAUCUUUCGCCUUUUACUAAAGAUUUCCGUGGAGAGGAACAACUCUGAGUCUUAAACCAAUUUUUUGAGGCCUUGCUUUUUGUGAGGCU